UGCAAGUCGAACGAGAAAGUAGGAGCAAUCCAUGAGUACAGUGGCGUACGGGUGAGUAACACGUGGGUAAUCUACCUCUUUGUGUGGAAUAACCCUGGGAAACCGGGGCUAAUACCGCAUAAGCUCGAGAGAGGAAAGCAGCAAUGCGCUGAGAGAGGAGCCCGCGGCCGAUUAGCUAGUUGGCAGGGUAAAAGCCUACCAAGGCAAAGAUCGGUAGCCGGCCUGAGAGGGCACACGGCCACACUGGCACUGAAACACGGGCCAGACUCCUACGGGAGGCAGCAGUGGGGAAUCUUGCACAAUGGGGGAAACCCUGAUGCAGCGACGCCGCGUGAGCGAUGAAGCCCUUCGGGGUGUAAAGCUCUUUCGGCAGGGAAGAUUAUGACGGUACCUGCAGAAGCAGCUGCGGCUAACUACGUGCCAGCAGCCGCGGUAAUACGUAGGCAGCAAGCGUUGUUCGGAGUUACUGGGCGUAAAGGGUGUGUAGGCGGUCUUCUAAGUUUGGUGUGAAAUCUCCCGGCUCAACUGGGAGGGUGCGCCGAAUACUGAAAGACUAGAGUGCGGGAGAGGAUAGUGGAAUUCCUGGUGUAGCGGUGAAAUGCGUAGAUAUCAGGAGGAACACCGGUGGUGUAGACGGCUAUCUGGACCGUAACUGACGCUGAGACACGAAAGCGUGGGUAGCAAACAGGAUUAGAUACCCUGGUAGUCCACGCCCUAAACGAUGCAUAUUUGGUGUGGGCAGUUCAGUCUGUCCGUGCCGGAGCUAACGCGUUAAAUAUGCCGCCUGGGGAGUACAGUCUCAAGGCUGAAACUCAAGGAAUUUGACGGGGGGGCCGCACAAGCGGGUGGAUCAUGUGGUUCAAUUUCCAA
Molecule: ribosomal RNA, 870 nt
Filed under: uncultured soil bacterium
Lineage: Bacteria
Description: bacterial SSU rRNA
Rfam family: Bacterial small subunit ribosomal RNA
Source: RNAcentral